Molecule: ribosomal RNA, 253 nt
Filed under: uncultured bacterium
Lineage: Bacteria
Description: partial 16S ribosomal RNA
Rfam family: Bacterial small subunit ribosomal RNA
Source: RNAcentral
UACGGGGGGGGCAAGCGUUGUUCGGAAUUACUGGGCGUGAAGGGCUCGUAGGUGGCCAACUAAGUCAGACGUGAAAUCCCUCGGCUUAACCGGGGAACUGCGUCUGAUACUGGAUGGCUUGAAUCCGGGAGAGGGAUGCAGAAUUCCAGGUGUAGCGGUGAAAUGCGUAGAUAUCUGGAGGAAUACCGGUGGCGAAGGCGGCAUCCUGGACCGGCAUUGACGCUGAGGAGCGAAAGCUAGGGGAGCAAACGGG